GACGAACCGUCCUAACGUUGUUCGGAAUCACUGGGCUUAAAGGGCGCGUAGGCGGGCCACCAAGUCUGGGGUGAAAUCUUUCGGCUUAACCGGAAAAUAGCCUUGGAUACUGGUGGUCUGGAGGGUGGUAGGGGCAUGUGGAACUUCCGGUGGAGCGGUGAAAUGCGUUGAUAUCGGAAGGAACGCCGGUGGCGAAAGCGACGUGCUGGACCACUUCUGACGCUGAGGCGCGAAAGCCAGGGGAGCAAACGGG
Molecule: ribosomal RNA, 253 nt
Filed under: uncultured bacterium
Lineage: Bacteria
Description: partial 16S ribosomal RNA
Rfam family: Bacterial small subunit ribosomal RNA
Source: RNAcentral